This is a long non-coding RNA of Triticum aestivum (bread wheat), 871 nucleotides long. RefSeq lists it as uncharacterized. Lineage: Eukaryota; Viridiplantae; Streptophyta; Magnoliopsida; Poales; Poaceae. The transcript is spliced from 4 exons. The record is from RefSeq and is a predicted model, not a curated record.
UCCCGUCAAAAAAAGUCCCCCAACUACAUGUCGGCCACCCCAAAUCCCGGCGGCGGCGGCCGCCGCCGGAAGUGGACGAGCGCCACACGGGCGUGCUGGGGCUCUACCUGCACCCGGACUGCCGGACAUCGACCUCAAGAAGCUGUGUUGGCUCCUCCUCAAGGCCAAGCUCGCGCCAUGCCUCCCAAUGGAUCGAUAGAUAGAGCGUCGCGGGUGGAGAGGCGGCCGGCCGGUGGAAGGGGCAGCCUCUCGAUUAUUGGUUCUCGGAGGUGCGACAAAGCCGAGGAAGAAGCCAGGCGCCUGAUUCCCCGCGGAGGCAGAGUAGGGCGGCUCGAGCGUGCGAUGAGCUUCUCGACUGGAGCUCGCCGUCGGCGGCGAGUGCGGGUGGCCAGCUCACGCCGUCUCAACCCUCUGCCUCUCCCUCACAUACGACUCGCGCCGUCGCUGCGUUCCCCAUUCUUUUCCCGUGCUUUUCGAUUGGCCCGGCGGUGAGCUGCAGUGCCGCUAGCUCGUCGGCGACGGCUACGACGCCAUCUGUGCCGUCCCUUGGUCCCUUCCCCCGGCAGCAACCUUCUUGACGGUCUGGUCUUCCUCCUCCCCCCUCCCUUAAUUUCUAGGGUUUUGAAGUUGGUUCAGUAGUUAAUUCACGGUCCAUGAGUUUGUGUAGAACGACAGGUGGCGGCGGAAAGAGCCAUUCCAUGACGGAUCUCUGAUGAGAGGGCCAGCAAAAUGUAAUCAAUCAAUGGAGACGAAGUAUUUGUCCAAUUGUUUGCAAGGCUGGCUGUACGAUCUCCGCAGAUUGGCGCUUCUUUGUUCUGCCAGUGGAGAUUCAGUGUAUCACUGCAAAUUCCUUACACCGGCAGUGUAUCAU